GAUGAACGCUGGCGGCAUGCUUAACACGUGCAAGUCGGACGGGCAGUGGUGUUUCUAGUGGCGGACGGGUGAGUGACGCGUGAGAAACUGACCUUUGGAUGGGAACCACAACUGGAAACGGUUGCUAAUACCCCGUAGACCUAGUAGCAAAAGGUAGAAUCCGCCCGAGGGUGGGCUUGCGUCUGAUUGGCUAGUUGGUGAGGUAAUAGCUUACCACGGCGAUGGACAGUAGCUGGUCUGAGAGGAUGAUCCGCCAGACUGGGACUGAGACCAGGCGCAGACACCUACGGGAGGCGGGCGAGAGCAAGUCGCAGCAACGGGGCGAGGGCGAACGAGGCAUUGCGGCGGGGAGGUAGAAGGCCCAGGGGUCGUGAACUUUGUAUGUCGGAGAAGAAAUAAUGACGGUAGCUGAGGAAUAAGCAACGGCUAACUCUGUG
Molecule: ribosomal RNA, 437 nt
Filed under: uncultured bacterium
Lineage: Bacteria
Description: partial 16S ribosomal RNA
Rfam family: Bacterial small subunit ribosomal RNA
Source: RNAcentral